UACGAAGGGGGCUAGCGUUGCUCGGAAUCACUGGGCGUAAAGCGCACGUAGGUGGGUUUCUAAGUCAGGGGUGAAAUCCUGGAGCUCAACUCCAGAACUGCCUUUGAUACUGGGAAUCUUCGAGUCCGGGAGAGGUGGGUGGAACUGCGAGUGUAGAGGUGAAAUUCGUAGAUAUUCGCAAGAACACCAGUGGCGAAGGCGGCUCACUGGCCCGGUACUGACACUGAGGUGCGAAAGCGUGGGGAGCAAA
This 250-nucleotide ribosomal RNA is filed under the name uncultured bacterium. RNAcentral's name for it is "partial 16S ribosomal RNA". It matches the Rfam family "Bacterial small subunit ribosomal RNA", at positions 524 to 772 of the family's 1533-position model. The record is from RNAcentral.